This 433-nucleotide ribosomal RNA is filed under the name uncultured bacterium. Its description in RNAcentral is "partial 16S ribosomal RNA". It matches the Rfam family "Bacterial small subunit ribosomal RNA", at positions 29 to 507 of the family's 1533-position model. The record is from RNAcentral.
AACGAACGCUGGCGGCAUGCCUAACACAUGCAAGUCGAACGAGACCUUCGGGUCUAGUGGCGCACGGGUGCGUAACGCGUGGGAACCUGCCCUUAGGUUCGGAAUAACUCCCCGAAAGGGGUGCUAAUACCGGAUAAUGUCUUCGGACCAAAGAUUUAUCGCCUUUGGAUGGGCCCGCGUUGGAUUAGCUAGUUGGUAGGGUAAAAGCCUACCAAGGCGACGAUCCAUAGCUGGUCUGAGAGGAUGAUCAGCCACACUGGGACUGAGACACGGCCCAGACUCCUACGGGAGGCAGCAGUGGGGAAUAUUGCACAAUGGGCGAAAGCCUGAUCCAGCAAUGCCGCGUGAGUGAUGAAGGCCUUAGGGUUGUAAAGCUCUUUUACCCGGGAUGAUAAUGACGGUACCGGGAGAAUAAGCUCCGGCUAACUCCGUG